RNAcentral lists this ribosomal RNA (465 nucleotides) under uncultured bacterium. RNAcentral describes it as "partial 16S ribosomal RNA". It matches the Rfam family "Bacterial small subunit ribosomal RNA", at positions 28 to 507 of the family's 1533-position model. The record is from RNAcentral.
GACGAACGCUGGCGGCGUGCUUAACACAUGCAAGUCGAACGGUAAGGCCCCUUCGGGGUUCAACUAUUGGCGACGGGUUGGUUACCAGUUAACAAACCUCCCCUUUCUCCUGUAUUACCGUUUGAAACCACUUGCUACUCUUGCUAAUUCUUCUUUCCCUCCCUGGGGGUUGUUGGAAGCUCCCGGCGGCAAGGGAUGGCCGCGGGGCUUAUCAGCUUGUUGGUAGGUUAAUGGCUCACCAAGGCUUCGACGGGUAGCCGGCCUGAGAGGGCGACCGGCCACACUGGGACUGAGAUACGGCCCAGACUCCUACGGGAGGCAGCAGUGGGGAAUAUUGCACAAUGGGCGCAAGCCUGAUGCAGCAACGCCGCGUGCGGGAUGACGGCCUUCGGGUUGUAAACCGCUUUCAGUAGGGACGAAGGGUGACUGACGGUACCUACAGAAGAAGGACCGGCUAACUACGUG